GGCAGCGUGGUGUAGUGGUUUGUAUGUUGGACUAUGACUCUGAAGACUAGGGUUUGAUUCCUACCUCUUCCA
Molecule: non-coding RNA, 72 nt
Organism: Phrynosoma platyrhinos (Desert horned lizard)
Lineage: Eukaryota; Metazoa; Chordata; Lepidosauria; Squamata; Phrynosomatidae
Source: the annotation of a GenBank genome assembly